RNAcentral lists this ribosomal RNA (901 nucleotides) under uncultured bacterium. RNAcentral's name for it is "bacterial SSU rRNA". It matches the Rfam family "Bacterial small subunit ribosomal RNA", at positions 483 to 1397 of the family's 1533-position model. The record is from RNAcentral.
CCAGAAAGCCACGGCUAACUACGUGCCAGCAGCCGCGGUAAUACGUAGGUGGCGAGCGUUAUCCGGAAUUAUUGGGCGUAAAGGGUGCGCAGGCGGCCGAUUAAGUUUGCGGUGAAAGCGUGGGGCUCAACCCCAUACAGCCACAGAUACUGGUCGGCUAGAGUACUGGAGAGGAAAGUGGAAUUCCAUGUGUAGCGGUAAAAUGCGUAGAUAUAUGGAGGAACACCGGUGGCGAAGGCGGCUUUCUAGCCAGAGACUGACGCUCAUGCACGAAAGCGUGGGGAGCAAAUAGGAUUAGAUACCCUAGUAGUCCACGCUGUAAACGAUGAAUGCUAAGUGUUGGGGAAACUCAGUGCUGCAGCUAACGCAAUAAGCAUUCCGCCUGUGGAGUAUGCACGCAAGUGUGAAACAUAAAGGAAUUGACGGGGGCCCGCACAAGCGGUGGAGUAUGUGGUUUAAUUCGAAGCAACGCGAAGAACCUUACCAGGCCUUGACAUCCCCUGCAAAAGUGUAGAGAUACACGGGAGGUUAUCAGGGAGACAGGUGGUGCAUGGUUGUCGUCAGCUCGUGUCGUGAGAUGUUGGGUUAAGUCCCGCAACGAGCGCAACCCUUGUCGGUAGUUACCAAUAUUAAGUUAGGGACUCUACCGAGACUGCCGGUGACAAACCGGAGGAAGGUGGGGAUGACGUCAAAUCAUCAUGCCCCUUAUGGCCUGGGCUACACACGUACUACAAUGGCCGGUACAACGAGCAGCAACACAGUGAUGUGAAGCAAAUCUCUGAAAGCCGGUCCCAGUUCGGAUUGGAGUCUGCAACUCGACUCCAUGAAGUCGGAAUCGCUAGUAAUCGCGGAUCAGCAUGCCGCGGUGAAUACGUUCUCGGGCCUUGUACACACCGCCCGU